This 377-nucleotide unclassified non-coding RNA is filed under the name uncultured Oligoflexales bacterium. RNAcentral describes it as "contains 16S-23S intergenic spacer region". Lineage: Bacteria; Pseudomonadati; Bdellovibrionota; Oligoflexia; Oligoflexales. The record is from RNAcentral.
UCCGGCUUAACACCGGCAGUCUCCUUAGAGUGCCCAACUAAAUGGUGGCAACUAAGGAUAAGGGUUGCGCUCGUUAAGGGACUUAACCCGACAUCUCACGAUACGAGCUGACGACAGCCAUGCAGCACCUGUCUCUCGGUCCCCGAAGGGAAAGCCGUACUUCUACGGUUGUCCGAGGAUGUCAAACCCAGGUAAGGUUUUUCGCGUUGCAUCGAAUUAAACCACAUGCUCCACCGCUUGUGCGGGCCCCCGUCAAUUCCUUUGAGUUUUAACCUUGCGGCCGUACUUCCCAGGCGGGGUACUUAAUGCGUUAGCGUCGACACUGUAGGGGUCAAUUCCCACAACAUCUAGUACCCAUCGUUUACGGCGUGGACUAC